UGUUAGUCGGGUGUUUAAUUAAUUCUCUUUCAUCUUGGGUUGAACUCAAUACAUUUCAUGAGACUCUGUCUACCAUGUCUAAACAUUGCAGGUUCUUCUUCGAAGCCAAUGCACCAGUGUCUUUUGAACAUUGGCCCCAGUAAUCUAAAUUCCACAUUGCAGGGCAAAGAAAAGCUUACUUCAAAUAGAAGGCCUCUUGUUGUCCGAGCAGGUGGGGACAGACCAAGUUCUGCGAGUAUCUUUGCCAGCCACCUCUCUGCUAUUCUUUAUAAGAAAAGCCUGUAAUUGCGGGAUUGGGAGAUGAAGACAAGCCAUUCAUCUGCACUAUGGAUUCAAUUGGAGCCAAAGAGGUGGAUGGGCAAAAUAAUCAGUGAUAAGAUAUGCAUCAGAUGGCACCACUAUUCAAGCAUGAUAGAGGACAAGAUUGAUGCAGACACACAGAAUGGAUGACAUUUUGUUUAAACUACCUGAACAUUAGAUGCAUUUUUAGGGUUGACCACUUUUGGAAUUUGUUUGUAUCUACUAUCACUUGGAUUGACAUAGUGGGAUUUGUUUUUGUAUCUAGUAUAACUAAUGGGAUCGGAUUAAGAUACUCAUUUACU
Molecule: long non-coding RNA, 602 nt
Organism: Prunus avium (sweet cherry)
Lineage: Eukaryota; Viridiplantae; Streptophyta; Magnoliopsida; Rosales; Rosaceae
Source: RefSeq, a predicted model, not a curated record